Molecule: transfer RNA, 67 nt
Filed under: Trachymyrmex cf. saussurei TS-1997
Lineage: Eukaryota; Metazoa; Arthropoda; Insecta; Hymenoptera; Formicidae
Description: tRNA-Leu
Source: RNAcentral
UUUAAUAUGGCAGAUUAGUGCAUUGGAUUUAAGCCCCAAGUAUAAAGAUUAUUUUCUUUUAUUAAAA